AUUGAAGAGUUUGAUCAUGGCUCAGAUUGAACGCUGGCGGCAGGCCUAACACAUGCAAGUCGAGCGGUAGCACAGGAGAGCUUGCUCUCUGGGUGACGAGCGGCGGACGGGUGAGUAAUGUCUGGGAAACUGCCUGAUGGAGGGGGAUAACUACUGGAAACGGUAGCUAAUACCGCAUAACGUCUUCGGACCAAAGUGGGGGACCUUCGGGCCUCACGCCAUCAGAUGUGCCCAGAUGGGAUUAGCUAGUAGGUGGGGUAAUGGCUCACCUAGGCGACGAUCCCUAGCUGGUCUGAGAGGAUGACCAGCCACACUGGAACUGAGACACGGUCCAGACUCCUACGGGAGGCAGCAGUGGGGAAUAUUGCACAAUGGGCGCAAGCCUGAUGCAGCCAUGCCGCGUGUGUGAAGAAGGCCUUCGGGUUGUAAAGCACUUUCAGCGAGGAGGAAGGGUAGUGUGUUAAUAGCACAUUGCAUUGACGUUACUCGCAGAAGAAGCACCGGCUAACUCCGUGCCAGCAGCCGCGGUAAUACGGAGGGUGCAAGCGUUAAUCGGAAUUACUGGGCGUAAAGCGCACGCAGGCGGUUUGUUAAGUCAGAUGUGAAAUCCCCGCGCUUAACGUGGGAACUGCAUUUGAAACUGGCAAGCUAGAGUCUUGUAGAGGGGGGUAGAAUUCCAGGUGUAGCGGUGAAAUGCGUAGAGAUCUGGAGGAAUACCGGUGGCGAAGGCGGCCCCCUGGACAAAGACUGACGCUCAGGUGCGAAAGCGUGGGGAGCAAACAGGAUUAGAUACCCUGGUAGUCCACGCUGUAAACGAUGUCGACUUGGAGGUUGUGCCCUUGAGGCGUGGCUUCCGGAGCUAACGCGUUAAGUCGACCGCCUGGGGAGUACGGCCGCAAGGUUAAAACUCAAAUGAAUUGACGGGGGCCCGCACAAGCGGUGGAGCAUGUGGUUUAAUUCGAUGCAACGCGAAGAACCUUACCUACUCUUGACAUCCACAGAAUUCGGCAGAGAUGCCUUAGUGCCUUCGGGAACUGUGAGACAGGUGCUGCAUGGCUGUCGUCAGCUCGUGUUGUGAAAUGUUGGGUUAAGUCCCGCAACGAGCGCAACCCUUAUCCUUUGUUGCCAGCACGUAAUGGUGGGAACUCAAAGGAGACUGCCGGUGAUAAACCGGAGGAAGGUGGGGAUGACGUCAAGUCAUCAUGGCCCUUACGAGUAGGGCUACACACGUGCUACAAUGGCGUAUACAAAGAGAAGCGAACUCGCGAGAGCCAGCGGACCUCAUAAAGUACGUCGUAGUCCGGAUCGGAGUCUGCAACUCGACUCCGUGAAGUCGGAAUCGCUAGUAAUCGUAGAUCAGAAUGCUACGGUGAAUACGUUCCCGGGCCUUGUACACACCGCCCGUCACACCAUGGGAGUGGGUUGCAAAAGAAGUAGGUAGCUUAACCUUCGGGAGGGCGCUUACCACUUUGUGAUUCAUGACUGGGGUGAAGUCGUAACAAGGUAACCGUAGGGGAACCUGCGGUUGGAUCACCUCCUU
This 1540-nucleotide ribosomal RNA is filed under the name Serratia liquefaciens. Its description in RNAcentral is "bacterial SSU rRNA". It matches the Rfam family "Bacterial small subunit ribosomal RNA". The record is from RNAcentral. Lineage: Bacteria; Pseudomonadati; Pseudomonadota; Gammaproteobacteria; Enterobacterales; Yersiniaceae.